CGCGCGCUUCCUAGUGACGCAGGCGGCGGGGCCGCGCACGCACGGGCCUGGGCGGGCCCGGAAACUUAUUUGGCGCUCGGCGGGGAGGCGGACGGAGCCGAGAAAUAAAGCCCGGCCUGGCCCGACGCGCGUGCGUGUGGGCGGGGGCGGGGCCCGCGGCGCCCUCGCUGGGUAGCUCGUUCCGCGGCCCCGCCCGCGGGCAUACUUGCUGGGCGGCCACACACCUGCGGGGUUUCGACCAACCCCUCCGUGGGUACGAGCGGGGGAGAACUGCGUAGGAAGACUUGUUUAAAGAUUGGGGAAAUGUGCGUGAACAGUAGCGACAAAAACCAGAUGCAGGUCCGCUCGUCAUCUCAAGCGUGUCGGAGGUCCCUACGCAGAGACGCCGGGAGGGCCUGCUCGAAAAAGCAGCGCAUCUCUGCACCCUUCCGCUCGGCGACUCCCAAUCCUGCAGUUGUUUCAUUUCUUAUAGCAGUAAGCCUUAGAAAGGGCUGUGACAUUUUUAUCUGAAUCUACGCAGUACCGUACAGUGUUCUUUAAGUGUUGGCCCCCAGCCGCGCUGUCAGUGCUGUAGCCAGUGGCCACAUGUGUUCAUUUAAAAUUAACAUUCAGUUUCUCAGCGCUGAGCCGUAGAAAGCCCAGGUGUAGGCUUAGGGACGCGCCGAGCAUUCUGCGCAUGCGCGCGCUCUAUGGGGGGGAAAGGCUGGAGUAUGAAAGGCCGUUGGUUUUCCAGAUGGAAGCAUCGUUUAGCGUGUAUGGAGUCCCUUUGACUUGGGAGCCAGGUACAACCGGGCCUUGCUGUUGGACUGGAAGGUGCAGUGGAGGCCGCAGGGUGGUGGUUGGUGGGAUUCAUUGGCCCCGCCGAGAGUGGGGCCAAAUUGUGGAGCAACCUGCUCUUGGCCUGAGGACUUCCGGAGGAAGCCAGCAUGGCGUGGGGCACAUUCUUUAAUCUUCCGGUGCUCCGGCACUCAGGGUAGUGCCCAGAGCUGGACCGAGGCUGUCAGUUCUCAGAACAGGGCAGGCACACCUGAGCUCUCCUGAUCUGCUCAAUAUCCUCGCUCUUGCUGCGAGCAGCUGCCCCAAAAACUUGGGUGUGGGAUGAAAGGCUGCCGGGUCCCUGAGUGCUCCCACUCGGGAACAGAGAAGGCAGGAAACAGAUGUCUUGUUAGGGCCAAGGCAUGUUUACACUCCAGUAGGAAGACACCUGAAGGCCAUCCUUGGACGUUUUCAAGCAAACUUCAUUUCGGUGAUGUUAUAAUUAGGAGACUUGCACUUCCAUUCUCUUUUCAAUAAUGUAGAGUGUACUCAAGCCAGUGAUGGGAAAAGUCUUUCUUUUUAAAGAUUACACUGUUGACGCUAUGUCAGUGCUGGUAUUUUAUUAUCCAGCAAAUAUGAGAGCAGGGAGGUGUCUUCUCUGUCAUUUAUCUGAGUUUCCCUGUCCUCACGUUCUGGACAUAGAUGCCAAUAAAGUCAACGGAGAAGGCCCAGAGGACGCUGGUCCUCCCAGGGGACCAGGCCCGUGACAUCGUGCCUGCACCAGGAGACUACUGCUCUCCCGCCUGGAAGAGCAAUGGCCACGAGCCCAGGGUCUGUCGGCACACCGGCUUCUCUGUCCCCGUGUUUCCACUGCUGCACGACCUCAGGUUUGUUACAGAGGUUGGGAAAUCACUGUCAUGCAAGUCGCCGACUCCAGACCCUGCACCCCGAGAGGGGGUGUCAUCACCAGGCCCCAGGAUGCCCUGUCCUCAGGCUCCAGCCACACAGGACAAAGGUAGGCCCAGUUGCCCAGCAACCCUGUCCCUUCCCUCCACAGCCCUGCACGCCCUCACCACUGUGGCUCCGAGCCCCCCAUGCCGGAGUAAAGUUUUGGCCCAGCACAGGGCGGACCGGCAGCUGAUGUAAGAGCCUGUGGCAUUCAUCAGUAGGGCUUCAGGGCACAUUGCAGCCAACUUUAUGAGAAACUACCCCUCAUGAAACUUCAGUUCAGUGUUAAGGAACGAGCUAUUAAGAUAUGCUUUCCUUUUCCAACCACCGAGCUCCCGGAAGCCAGAGUUUUUUUCAUGUACUGCAACCAUUCUGUUUUUUUAAAAUUUCAUUGUUUUUAAAGUGUUAUGUUACUAUGCAAUGGCUAUAUCAUUUUAAAACGAAUUACUGUUUUUUUAAAUUUCUGAGUUUUAAUUCUUAAUGUGGUAACUGUCAACCCAUAUAAUCCACAUAAACAAAGCUCUUUAGGGGUCCUCCAUAAACGUUUAAGAUUGUAAGGGGUACGUGAAACCAACCAGUUGGAGUUUCUUCAAAAAUCCUAGUGCGUAGCUCAUAACAGAGGAUUAUGCAGCCGUUGGAGUGGCGCUUCCGAAGAUGGGAAAGUGCUGACAUCGCUGCACAGUCCUCAGGCCCAGACGCUGACACACAUCGCUGCUGACAGGCGAGCCCUCUAGGGGGAAGCAGCAUUGGUGGGUCAAGAUUUCUGUCUUUAACUUUGCAGUGAUGCAGUGAACAUGUGUUAACAGAAAAAAAAAUGUAAUAAAAUAAUGUCUACCUAGUUUUCCUCAAAUUGGAUAUUGUGAAAAAUUGAAAGCAUUGUUGCACAUAACAUGUUACUGACCAGCCUGCAAGUUCUCCCAGGGCACGGGCUGGUCUCCAACCCAUCUCCGGUCUCCUUAGUGACACGUAAGUACUAAGCACUCACUAAAUUCGUGUUGAGGACACAAAUGCACGAAUGUUUUAACAUUAUGAAUUAUAUACCUACAAAAACUGCUGUUUUGGGUUGAAUUGUGUCCCCCCAGAGAUAGGUUGAAGUCCCAACCCCCAGGACCUCAGAAUGUGACUUUAUUUGAAAAUAGGGCCCUUGCAGAUGUGAUUACUGUAGUUAAAAUGAAGUCAUAUUGGAUUAGGGUGGCCCCAAAUCCAAUGGCUGGUGUCCCACGGAGACAGACACGCACCGGGGGAGACAGCCCUGUGACCCCAGAGGCUGAGAUCGGCGUGAUGCAUCUACUGGACAACUGCCAGCAUCCAGCUGCACACCAGCUCCAGUUCCUAGUGCCAGGGGAGCACCGCUGCUGCGUGGAGACCAUCACAGUGCCAACCACCAGGGGCAGAGGUCCAAACUCUUCUACCCUCCGUAUCCUGGCAUCAGAGUUGCCAAGGAAAGCACAAGGCAGCCGAGCACCCAGCAGACGAGCUUUACUCAUGCAGAGCAGACAGACAAGGUCCUUUUCAGCAGUGGGCCGUGCCCAUGCCAGCGGGCGGUUGGCCUGCCUGCACCCCUUAAGACCAUUCUUAAGUGGCCCUGCAGGGGUUGAAAGAUGGUCUUCCCAACAGAGAAGCUAGGAGAGGCAAGGGGGAUCCUCCCCUACUGGUUUCAGAGCACAGCCCUGUGACACCUUGACCUUGGACUUCUGCCCUCCAGAACUGUGGGAAAGUAAGUUUCAGUUGUCUUAAGUGCCCCCGUUUCAGGUACUUGUUACAGCAGCCCUAGAAAACUAACUGUUUGGUAGCAAAAUUAUUUUUCUUUAGCAAACAAAGAAACAGCUAUGAUUUGUAUGACUGUUUUCCACCUGACACUGUCUGACAAGGAGAUGUGCAGAUGGCUGGAGAACGGCCCUGUGUGGGGACAGGCAUCUGUCCAUGCUACCAUUCCACCCACUUUGCUGGACCGCCUGUCACGGGGGGCAGGGGACACAGAGCCAUGGGGCAUGCACCUGGGAGUCUAGGAUCCCCCCACAUCCUAGCAAGACCCACAGCCCUGAGGUUGCAGUGAGAAGGGCAAGCUUCAGACCUCAGACCCUGACCUUUGGUCCGUAGCACCAACCUGGGCCAGCAGGUAGGCUAGGCCCUGGGGAGAGUAGGGACAGCCCCAGGCCAGCCCCGCCAGGGGGGCCCUGACUUCUCCCUUCCACCCCUGCUGUCUCCUGGAGCUUGUGUGUCCUUUAUACAUUCAUUCCUUCAAAUCGCUGUUGUCACUAGAACUAGUCAUAAUCAUGGUAAAAAGAGCUUGAUAGCUGGGCUCAGUUCGGAGCUGCAGCUGCACUCACCACUCACUCCCAGGCGGCGGCCUCCAACCCAUCCCCCAGUCCUGCUCACUGGGAUGGCGCAACUGUUGCUUAAACACACAGUUUUUUUUUUCUUUAAUCGUUCAUUUAAUUUUAAGUUCACUUUCACUACGUGAUGAGAUGGGUGCAUAUUACACUAGGCUUCCACUAUGAGAGAGCUGCCACGGCUAAAACAAAUACAGCCCUCAGUCCCUUUCCGCUUCCCUUUCUGAGUCCCACAAAAGCCCCAUGUGGGCACUGCUGGGUUCCACUCCUGGCUCAUCCGUUCCCUCUGGAGGGAGGCUAUCUCGUGGGUCCCUACUUCCCCCCCCCCCCGAAGCCCACUGCAGGGGACCACCCCUUGCUCCCUGGCUUGGCCCCCAUAGGUUUCUGCAGGAUGUAAGCUGGGGCUCUGAGGGCUGUAGCCACCUGGUUUCUGAGGUGCUGGCCCUGGGUCCUACAAGAACCUGUAGUCUGUGUCCGCACACUUUCCACCAAGAGGAUGGUCGCAGGGCACCUGCCCCCAGGACCCAGCUGUGGGGUAGGACUGCUAUGGAGAAGGGGAGGAUGCUGCAGUGGCACAAAAAAAUGGACAGCCCUCAUGGCCAGGCAGGUGGCAGUCCUCAAAGGCCAGCCCUGAGGGAUGUGGCGGUCCCCGGGGCUGAAGGAGGGGAAGGAGCCCAGUCCAGGAGGGGGUUGGCAGGGAAAGCCUAGAGUCAGGCCUCCAAACUACAGGCUGGCCAGAGGGGGCCAUGAGCCAGGAACACCAAGGAUGGAACACCAGGAUGGGGAGGUGGCUUGGGAAUCCUGCCCCCUGCCCCCUGUUGUCUCCUAGGGGCUCCCUGCAGGCCACCAGUGACUGUCACUCAUAGGUGGCCAGAGGUGAGCCUGAAAGCCCAGUGGCCAGAGCAUUGUGGGAGGGCACAGGGCACGGGAAGGGGCCAAGACUCCAAAGGGCUCUAAGGACAGAUAUGCAGAGUGGAAGGAGAGGAUAGAUGGCAGGAGCUGGGCUUUCCCCACACAGGUGCUCAGCCAGAGGCUCUUGGAAGGAGGGCACUUCUGGAAAGGGGCCAGCAGGGAGUGUCAUGCUCCCCACAACCGUC
Molecule: long non-coding RNA, 5134 nt
Organism: Rhinolophus ferrumequinum (greater horseshoe bat)
Lineage: Eukaryota; Metazoa; Chordata; Mammalia; Chiroptera; Rhinolophidae
Exons: 2
Source: RefSeq, a predicted model, not a curated record